AAUUUAUGGAUUAUAUAACAUUUGCUGACUGAAAAUAUCAACCACAGUGAAUACCAUUCAGCCUCGCUGCCUUGAUUUCCAUUCUGGACAUGGGACAAAUAAGUGAACAACAGUGAUUUCCACUCCUGUUUUCAUUGGAACUGUCCAACAUAAUAUUCAUCCCUAACUCUGAAUUUUAUUGCUUUAUAUAAAUUGCCCAGCAGGGACUCAUUUUGAGAAAGAAGAUAAUUUCUCAGGACUGCACUGGACAGGGUCAGGAUAUUAGAUUGCUUAAGGAAGGAAUAUGAAAAGAAAAUGAUCUUCUGUGAGCCUCAUGCAUACAUAAGUGAACUAAUAUACCGGUAACCAUGCUGUCUUCUACCUUGCUUGAAAAGAAUUUUCUCCAGGAGGUAUCCUUUAAAAAGAAUAAACUACAAAUAAAAACAUUCAAUUUAAUAUUA
Long non-coding RNA from Lacerta agilis (Sand lizard), 440 nucleotides. RefSeq lists it as uncharacterized. Lineage: Eukaryota; Metazoa; Chordata; Lepidosauria; Squamata; Lacertidae. The transcript has 3 exons. The record is from RefSeq and is a predicted model, not a curated record.